This 1100-nucleotide long non-coding RNA is filed under the name Phascolarctos cinereus (koala). RNAcentral describes it as "lncRNA (ENSPCIG00000036008.1)". Lineage: Eukaryota; Metazoa; Chordata; Mammalia; Diprotodontia; Phascolarctidae. The record is from RNAcentral.
CAUGAUUCUAACAAUCUGCCAUAUUGGCCAAACUCUUAAGGAAUCUAAGCAUUGGUCAGACUCUUAAGGAAUCUGAGCACCUUAAUGGAGAUGAAAUGGAUCUUAUAUACAGAAAGACUGCGGGAGGGAUCUAGGACCAGCCAAGUAGUCUGGGGUGACUGAGAGAUGGAGUCUAGGGAGGAUCUUGCUGGGAGUGACUGGGAGGUAGAAUGGGGUUUAGAUAGGAUCAAGGGUGGGAAGUAGCCAGGGGGACAUAACAGAAUUUGGAAAUUGAGUUUAGGCCACAAUAAAAGGGCAGUUGAGAGGAUUAUAGCCACAGGUGAAAGCCAGAGACUUGACCACGUGGAAAAGUCUAGGGCUUUUCUUGUUUGGGGUUCAGAUCCCAAAGACAUGGUCUUUUCCUUUUAGGGGUUCAAAUCCCAUCCCCCAUCAACCUCUACAACAGGAGGAGGCAUCAGAAGAGGAAUCGUUGAGAUCAUAUAUCCUUUUGAUUAUUGAGAGACUCUUCUUCAUCCAUCUGAUGCUACUGGGAGCUCAAGGAGGAAGAGGAAAUUGAAAUCAGCUUGUUAGCUGGAAGUCAUAACACACCCAAGAGUAUGGAGUCAUAGAGUCAUACCUAGUUAGUGAGGCAAGAUGCCAUUGACAUCAUCAAGUCUAAUCUGCACAUGAUCAAAGAUGGCUCAUAAAGUGACCUCCCCACAGUUCUCCAGUGAAUCAGUGGAAAUUAAUGGCAGAGGCAGUAUGUUGCUGGAAUUCUUUGGGAUCAGGAAGAAUUCAUGAUCAGCUUCCAUACAAUUACUAAGCCUAUGAGAUUCAAUUUUUUUUAAGUUCUGGACAAACUGUGAAGACUUCUAUGAUCUGAGCCAAGGUGAAGUGAAAACUAGGACAGCAAUUUAUACAAUAACAGCAUUAUAGAGGAAAAAUAACUUUGAAAGGUUUUAGCACUGUGAUUCACACAAUGAUAAAUUGAUUGUCCAGAAAUUGAAGGUGAGGGUAACACCUAGAUUGGGUCAUCCAACUCCUACCCAAAGAGGUUAUGGACUUGCAAAAUAAGGAAUGCAUUUUUGGGGGCAUUGCUAAUGUGGAAAUUUGUUUUGCUG